RNA transcript from Ipomoea nil (Japanese morning glory), 4091 nucleotides. It is a transcript of the gene named DExH-box ATP-dependent RNA helicase DExH15 chloroplastic, with no coding region annotated. The transcript is spliced from 17 exons. The record is from RefSeq and is a predicted model, not a curated record. NCBI's taxonomy places the organism in Eukaryota, Viridiplantae, Streptophyta, Magnoliopsida, Solanales, Convolvulaceae.
UAUCAUUGACGGCCGGACACUUGCUCUCUCCCGCCAUGGCCAUACAGUCUGUUCUCUCCCUCUCUUCUCAUCCUUUCACCUUUCGCUUUCAGUCAAACAAGCCUUCUGCACUUAUACUCUGUAAGCCACUUCUCCAUGUCCAAAACCUAGGGUUCUGCUUCAUAAAGCCACUCCAGCAUUCUCGAACUGUCAACAAGUGUCCCAGGUCUGUUUUGCCGGUGGAGUCUCAAGUCUCCGACGAAGGCGAAGACGACGAAGAAGAAGAAGAAGAAGAGGAGGAGGAGGAAGAAGAGGAAGACGACGAUGCUGAAGACGAAGAAGCUGCGGAAGAGUAUGGCGUCAUUUCAGCUGAGGUUUCCGACGGAGGCGAAGAAAGUGAGUACGAAAGUGACGCUGCAAAUUCGAUUGAUGUGGCGAGAGAUGAUAAGUUGAAGUUUGAGGAAUUUAAAUGGCAGAGAGUCGAGAGGAUUUGUAGGGACGUUCGAGAAUUCGGAGAAGAAAUUAUCGACGCUAACGAACUUGCUUCAGUUUACAAUUUCCGUAUUGAUAAGUUCCAGAGAUUGGCGAUUCAAGCGUUUCUACGAGGCUCGUCAGUCGUAGUGUCUGCGCCAACAAGUAGUGGCAAAACUUUAAUUGCUGAAGCUGCCGCUGUUGCGACAGUGGCAAAAGGAAGGAGAUUGUUCUACACUACUCCUCUUAAGGCUUUGUCAAAUCAGAAAUUUCGGGAAUUCCGGGAGACAUUUGGUGAUAGUAAUGUUGGGCUUAUUACAGGAGAUUCAGUGAUAAAUAAAGAUGCUCAGGUUUUAAUUAUGACUACUGAGAUUUUGCGCAAUAUGUUGUAUCAGAGUGUUGGAAUGGUUUCAUCAGACAGUGGACUUCUACAUGUUGAUGUGAUUGUUUUGGAUGAAGUACAUUAUUUGAGUGACAUAUCUCGGGGUACUGUCUGGGAAGAAAUUGUUAUUUAUUGCCCAAAAGAAGUUCAACUUAUAUGCCUGUCGGCAACUGUUGCUAAUCCAGAUGAGUUGGCUGGUUGGAUAGGUCAGAUUCAUGGUAGAACUGAGUUGGUGACAUCACUCAGACGUCCAGUUCCCCUGACAUGGCACUUCUCAACUAAAACAUCUUUACUACCUCUUCUUAAUGAAAAAGGCACAAGCAUGAGCAGGAGUUUAUCACUCAAUUAUUUACAACUUGAUGAAUCAGAAGCUACAUUACAGAAGGGUGAACGGUCUAGAAGGAGAAAUUCAAGAAAACGUGGAAGUGAUGUAAAUCCACUCUCAAAGAAUGAGAUAUCUACUCUUCGCCGCUCACAGGUGCCCCAGAUUAUGGACACAUUAUUGCAGCUAAAGGCAAGGGAUAUACUUCCAGCAGUGUGGUUUAUCUUUAGUAGGAAGGGAUGUGAUGCAGCUGUUCAGUAUCUUGAAAACUGUAAGCUACUUGAUGAGUGUGAAGUGAGCGAAGUUGAACUGGCCUUGAAGAGGUUCCGCAUUCAAUAUCCUGAUGCAGUGAGAGAAUCCUCUGUGAAGGGCCUUCGGCGAGGGUUGGCUUCACAUCAUGCUGGCUGUCUUCCCUUGUGGAAAUCAUUUAUUGAAGAGCUAUUUCAGCGAGGACUUGUUAAAGUUGUCUUUGCAACAGAGACACUCGCUGCUGGAAUUAACAUGCCUGCUAGGACAGCUGUUAUUUCAUCUCUCAGCAAGAGGGGAGACAGUGGACGUGUCCUGUUAAGCUCAAAUGAAUUGUUCCAAAUGGCUGGGCGAGCUGGUCGAAGGGGUAUUGAUGAAUUGGGUCAUGUAGUUCUUGUUCAGACUCCAUAUGAAGGUCCUGAAGAGUGCUGCAAACUAAUAUUUUCUGGACUUCAACCCCUUGUCUCACAAUUUACUGCUUCCUAUGGCAUGGUGCUAAAUCUUCUAGCGGGGGCCAAAGUUACUCGUGGAUCAAUGGAAUCAGAUGAACUGAAAAUCUCACGAGGAGGACGGACUUUGGAAGAAGCAAGGAAAUUAAUUGAGCAGAGUUUUGGAAAUUAUGUAGGGAGCAAUGUUAUGGUUGCUGCAAAAGAAGAGCUUUCUAGAAUUGAGAAGGAGAUUGAGAUGCUAACUUCUGAAAUAAGUGACGAAGCAAUUGAUAGAAAAAUCCAGAAGCUCUUGUCACAAUCGGCUUAUCAGGAGAUUUCCAAUCUUCAGGAGGAAUUAAAAGCAGAAAAACGCUUGCGUACUGAACUGCGGAGAAGAAUGGAACUGGAGAGAAUGUUUUCUUUGAAACCUUUGUUGAAGGAACUGGAGGAUGGGCAUCUGCCAUUUGUGUGUUUGCAGUACAAUGAUGCUGAUGGGGUUCAACAUUUAGUUGCUGCUGUUUAUUUGGGAAAUGUUGAUGCUUUAAGUGCUUCAAAACUUAAGAAUGUGGUUCACCACUCUGAUUUGUUUGCUAUAAAUAUGGAAGUAGAAAGUAAUGAAAAUGGUGGUAAUGAAGGUGAAGAUAAUUCCAAACCAUGCUACCAUGUGGCUCUUGGUUCGGACAACUCUUGGUACCUUUUCACAGAAAAGUGGAUUAGAACAGUAUACAGAACAGGCUUCCCAAAUGUUGCCUUAGCUCAUGGUGAUGCCUUGCCUCGUGAAAUUAUGACAGAACUUGUUGAGAAGGGGGAUAUGCAAUGGCAGAAGCUGGCAGAGUCAGGAUUUGGAGGUUUAUGGUGCAUGGAGGGAUCGUUAGAGACAUGGUCUUGGAGUUUAAAUGUGCCAGUCUUGAGUACUCUCUCUGAGGAUGAUGAGGUCCUCGAAUUUUCUCAAGCUUACAAGGACAUAGUAGAAUGCUAUAAAGAUCAAAGAAAUAAAGUUUCUCGUUUGAAGAAAAAGAUAGCACGAUCAGAAGGAUUUAAAGAGUAUAAGAAGAUUGUAGAUAUGGCUGGAUUCACAGAGGAGAAGAUUCGAAGGUUGAAAGUUAGGUCAAAUCGAUUGAUUAACCGCAUACAACAGAUUGAGCCAACUGGCUGGAAGGAGUUUUUGCAGGUCAGCAAUGUCAUUCAUGAAAGUAGGGCAUUGGAUAUCAAUACACAUGUUAUAUUUCCACUUGGUGAAACUGCGGCAGCGAUUCGAGGAGAAAAUGAACUCUGGCUUGCCAUGGUUCUUCGAAAUAAAUUAUUGCUGGGCUUAAAGCCUGCACAACUUGCUGCUGUUUGUGGAAGUCUAGUUUCUGAAGGGAUUAAACUUCGGCCUUCAAAAAAUAACUGUUACAUAUAUGAACCCUCUGCCAUUGUCUUGGAUGUCAUCAACUUAUUAGAAGAACAAAGAACCUCAGUUCUCGAACUUCAAGAGAAGCAUGGAGUAAGGAUACCUUGCUGCUUGGAUAGCCAAUUUUCUGGCAUGGUUGAAGCUUGGGCUUCUGGUUUAACUUGGAAGGAGAUUAUGAUGGACUGUGCUAUGGAUGAAGGAGAUUUAGCCCGCCUUUUAAGAAGAUCGAUUGAUAUAUUGGCUCAGGUUCCUAAAUUGCCUGAUAUUGACCCACUGCUGCAAAGCAAUGCCAAAAGUGCAUCCAGUGUGAUGGAUCGUCCACCAAUAAGUGAACUGGCUGGAUGAAAUUGAUUCCAAUAUAGGAAUUAUUCUUUCCCUCGUAAGAGUAACGCAACUUCAAGCCAGAUGCGCAUUGGGACAGUUCAGAAAGCGGAUCCUAACCCUCAUCGAAUUCAAGAGUCUUGCCCGUUAGGUGGAGAAUCAUAUAUAACUAAUUGCUUGAAGAAUGUAUUGGGGUAACAAAUUUUCACUAGAGUCACAAGUAAUACAAGGCAAAGUUGUUGGAAGUGUUAGGUUGUGACAACUACAGAAUGGGUGGACUAGUCAGUCUACUACAGGUUUGGUUUGACACACAACAUUUUGUCUGAGAAUCCAUUUAUGUAUGUAGUAAGAUCUCAUUUUUUCAGUACUUGCUGACAUUAAUGUAUUCAGGGAAGCUAAAAUUGUUAAUCUUAUGUAAUCUGGUAUGGUUGACUAAUUUCACCAAAAAAAAAAAAAAAAAAAAAGUUGAAACCAGAUUGUAAAAUAAUUGAGCUAUUCUCUAGUCAUUGAAGUGAUACUCGAGGAUUAUAUUAACAACUGUUUUUGGAA